This 520-nucleotide ribosomal RNA is filed under the name uncultured Acaulospora. Its description in RNAcentral is "SSU rRNA". It matches the Rfam family "Eukaryotic small subunit ribosomal RNA", at positions 569 to 1085 of the family's 1831-position model. Lineage: Eukaryota; Fungi; Glomeromycota; Glomeromycetes; Diversisporales; Acaulosporaceae. The record is from RNAcentral.
AGCAGCCGCGGUAAUUCCAGCUCCAAUAGCGUAUAUUAAAGUUGUUGCAGUUAAAAAGCUCGUAGUUGAAUUUCGGAAUCUGUGCGUCGGUCGGGCUUAACUGUCCGUACUGGUGUGAUGGGUUCUUACCUUCUGAAUAACCAGCAUGCCAUUUAUUUGGUGCGUUGGGGAAGCAGGACUAUUACCUUGAAAAAAUUAGAGUGCUCAAAGCAGGCUAGCGCCUGAAUAUAUUAGCAUGGAAUAAUAAAAUAGGACGGCAUGGUUCUAUUUUGUUGGUUUCUAGGAUCACCGUAAUGAUUAAUAGGGAUAGUUGGGGGCGAUUAGUAUUCAAUUGUCAGAGGUGAAAUUCUUGGAUUUAUUGAAGACUAACUUCUGCGAAAGCAUUUGCCAAGGAUGUUUUCAUUAAUCAAGAACGAAAGUUAGGGGAUCGAAGACGAUCAGAUACCGUACGUAGUCUUAACCAUAAACUAUGCCGACUAGGGAUCGGACGAUGUUAAUUUUUAAUUGUACUCGUUCGGUC